UUUUCAACUGCUAUUAUUCCAACACUUUGUGGGUGUAGUACUUCCGAUUUGUAGUUCUAUGUAUUUGCAGUUGUUUCCGGUUUGAUUUGUGGUUUGGGUGAGUGGUUUUGUGAUUGGUGUGUUGUUUUUCUAUUUCUGUUAUUCUUGCAACUUUGCAAGCUCUUUCUCACCAUUUUUUUUUGGGGGUUUUGUAAUUCUUUUUUGGCAUCAAACGGAGCUUUAUUGCUUGCGAUUUGCGAAUUUGGAUUUUGAUCAAGAAAUAGAUUCAGCAAAGAAGACCUCCUUUGUUGUAAGUUAUGAAACAGGGUUUUGGUUAGAUUGCUCUAUGGUCUCUUACCGCUGCAUCUCACCGGGAAAAUGCAGGUAUAUCAAUAGGGUGAUUUUGUACUUUGCACAAAGUGUUUUGAAAAUGGAAACUAUGGGAAGAACAAAUUGAAGUUAGAUUUCAAGUAUAACAACCAGUACGUUGAAAAGAGUGGUAAUACUGGAGUUGAGUGGACUGAAUCAGAAACUUCCUUUAACUCCUAGAAAACUUUACUUCUGUCCAAAAUUUGUGUGCGAUAUUAUU
Molecule: long non-coding RNA, 568 nt
Organism: Rosa chinensis
Lineage: Eukaryota; Viridiplantae; Streptophyta; Magnoliopsida; Rosales; Rosaceae
Exons: 4
Source: RefSeq, a predicted model, not a curated record